GUGGGGAAUCUUAGACAAUGGGGGAAACCCUGAUCUAGCCAUGCCGCGUGAUCGAUGAAGGCCUUAGGGUUGUAAAGAUCUUUCAGGUGGGAAGAUAAUGACUGUACCACCAGAAGAAGCCCCGGCUAACUCCGUGCCAGCAGCCGCGGUAAUACGGAGGGGGCUAGCGUUGUUCGGAAUUACUGGGCGUAAAGCGCACGUAGGCGGAUUGGAAAGUUGGGGGUGAAAUCCCGGGGCUCAACCCCGGAACUGCCUUCAAAACUCCCAGUCUUGAGUUCGAGAGAGGUGAGUGGAAUUCCAGGUGUAGAGGUGAAAUUCGUAGAUAUUCGGAGGAACACCAGUGGCGAAGGCGGCUCACUGGCUCGAUACUGACGCUGAGGUGCGAAAGCGUGGGGAGCAAACAGGAUUAGAAACCCGGGUAGUCC
This 425-nucleotide ribosomal RNA is filed under the name uncultured bacterium. RNAcentral's name for it is "partial 16S ribosomal RNA". It matches the Rfam family "Bacterial small subunit ribosomal RNA", at positions 354 to 796 of the family's 1533-position model. The record is from RNAcentral.